Anas platyrhynchos (mallard) is the source of this 2019-nucleotide non-coding RNA. The record is from RefSeq and is a predicted model, not a curated record. Lineage: Eukaryota; Metazoa; Chordata; Aves; Anseriformes; Anatidae.
CCUGCCGGAGCAGAUUCCAGGCCGGACCUGUAGCCUGUGGAGAGGAGACCACGCAGGAGCAGUCUCAGUUCAACAGGCAGUCCUACGUGGAUGGAAGUGCCAAGGUUUCAUUUAUCUACUGCCUGCAGCGCUUGAUGCUGAUUAAGGUGAUGAUUUACAACUUUGCAAAGUUUAUUUAAUGGACCUAGCAUGUGUCACACAGAGAGGAAUAGACCUUGAAGACAACACUUGCUUUACUGAUUCUACAAAAGUAAAGGAGGAAAGAACAGCUGGGAGACAUUAAAGGAUAAACACUUUAUUAGUGUAUAGUGCUAAGUGUACAUUCCAUGGCCUUAUCACUUUAUGAUGUGAUCAAACAAAAUGUCACAAGCAAAGCAGAGAUGAGCUACUUUGGUACUUGGCCAAAAGACCUCCAAGGAACCCAUAGGUACUGCGGGAAGCGAUAUUAGCAAUUUAUGGGAUGCCAUUUUUCUCUGAGCAAGCAUCGAAGUGUUAUAAAAGGGGUGACUGCUUGCAAAUUGUUGUCAGUAUGUGAAGCAAAAUUUGGUUUCUGGGAACUUGUUCAGUGCAAUAGUCUUAUCUUAGCACCAGCUUUGUGAAUUAUUUUUACUUAUGUAAAUUUACAUGACUUUUCAAGCAAGCUUCAGUUCACAUCAGUUUCAUAUAAAUUCUGAUCAAACUUGAUUUGCAACAGGACAGAAUGGAUCAAAAUCAUACAAAACUAAGAAUGGUAAUGCAGUGGAAUUACUUUUAACAAGUAAUAGAAUAAAGAAGAUUACAAUCUGAAAAGAAAAAAAAAAAAAAGAUUUUGUAAGGGAAAAAAUGAGUCAAUAGGUAGAUUAUACUGAUUUUGUAUUGACAUAUUUCUGAUUAAUAUGAGCUAUUUUCAUAAUAAUAUUUUGAUCACUUGGGGGGGGAGGGAGGGGGAGAUUAAUUGAAAAAUGUAAAAAGUCUGUUGUUUGUUUGUUUGUUUUCCAAAUUAUAUUUUUAAACAUAUUAAUUUGAUGGUUCCAGUCUCUUGCACAGUUAUUCAAUAAACAAAGUGUCCAUCCAGUAUAUGCAAGAUCAAGGUUCAUAAUUUUCCCUUUGGCCCACUGUUCAGACCAAUACUUUACAGCCCACUGUUCAGACCAAUACUUUUACUCCCGCCUUUUGGAACAUUCUGCAAAGGGUCAUGUUCAGUUUCUCCCAUGUACAAAAAUAAAUUGUAUCAAUAGCAACUACAUGUAGCAUGGAUUGUGAAAAUUAAUAUAAUGCUCAACCUAUUAGGUAAAUGUCUACUUUACAGGGUCACUUGAUGUGAGAUUUCAUGUAGCAGCCUGCCACAGAAAUAAAUAGGGAGCUUCCAGAAAGCAAUUCACCUUAUCUUAAAGUAGGAAAAAGAUGCAGGUUAUCCUUAUAUAUUUAACUGUAUGAUGAAAAUACAGAAUACAGUUCACCAACAUUUAAUUGUCUAAAUAUAUACGUCAACGUAUCCUGACAUCUUAAGUCUCAUAGUAUCUUAAGAUACCAUUUAUGUCAAAGGAGAUUAUAGACAACACAGAAAAUGGAACCUAUACAGAGGUUCAGAGCUAAUUACACUAGACAAAUCAUUUUAUUUUGCCAUGUUUUAAAAUAAUAUUCCCAAAAUGAUAAAAUAGGUGUUAAAUAGACCAUCUUAUUUUACCUGGAAUCUGUUAACAUGCACAUCUUCUUUAAAAGAAAAAAAAAAGGGGGGGGGAGGGGGCACACAACAAAACUUUUGCUUGCAAUCAGAUUAAUUCUUUGAUUUGAAAACUAAAAAUAAACUACUCAUCAAUCACUGUGCUUGACAGUCAGUCAUCUAAAUACAAGAUUAUCAUGUUCUUUGUACCAAUUCACUUAAAAGAUUGUUGUAUUUUGGCUUCAAGAUCUACAGCUUUGUACCUAUUUGCAAAGAUAGUUUGGAUGAAAUUCUUGUUAUUCUUUACUUCAUUACUAAUUACUAUGGAUUCACUUUUCAUACUGAAAUCAAAAGAAUACAGAUGUAUAUAACCCUGA